UUAUACAUACUAUUAUUAAUUAACUACACUGUUAUUGGACUUAAUAUGAUGAAAACUGCCUAUGCAAUAUAAUGUGUAAACUAGGCCAAUUCAGAAUAACUCGGCCAAUACAGAUUUUUUUCUGUAUUGGCCGAGUUAUUCUAUAUUGGCCGAGUUGACACAAGUGCAGGAAUUCGGAACGUCUCUAGAUUUUACAUCGAAAGUCACGAUAAACACAAACUGAAAGUAAACAGUUGUUUUGAAGACGCAGUUGUCGUUUAGUGAUCUUAAACAUGCUGAAAAUGUCAGUAUGGCAUACAUUUCAGGCGAAAGACGGUCACAUUCAUUUAAAAGGUAUUUUGAAAGCAGACGAUAGAACUAUUUCAGGUUUGGGGAACGAGUAGAUUAUCACAAAGUUCAUUUCUUGACGACCUCAUAAUUUCACGAUUGUACACAUCGAUUUUUAAUUAGUUUCUGCAUAACACAUGCAAUGGCAGUACCUUUCCAAUUACUAUUUAUGUGUUGCGUCUAAAUUUAAGUUGUAACACUUUAUAGUGACUGAAAAGGGUAGAAAAAUUCAUCAGAUGAGAAAAUACUGAAGACACCUGGAAACAGCACCAGAUCAUAAUGUAUUGCAUCUAAUACAAAGAAACAAACUGAAAUUUGGAUAGUUCCACUUCAAGGUAAAAAUAUUUAUCUCUUGAAAUGAUAUUAAGAAAAUAUUGUAACACUGUAGUUAAUUAAUAAAGAUAUUAUUACGUGUAUUUCUGUAUUGGCCUUGUUAUUGGUCCUCGGCCAGCUGUAUUGGCCUUCGGCUUCGCCUCAGGCCAAUACAGCAAGCCUCGGACCAAUAACAAGGCCAAUACAGAAAUACUUACGUAAUAAUAUCAUAGUAUA
This 876-nucleotide long non-coding RNA is filed under the name Mytilus galloprovincialis (Mediterranean mussel). Lineage: Eukaryota; Metazoa; Mollusca; Bivalvia; Mytilida; Mytilidae. The record is from RNAcentral.